AACGAUUCGCGCAACGCCAUCUAGGGGCGAUCGGCGCCCCAUUGCCUCCGUGUGUGGCCUUGAACUUGACUGUACACGUCGCGAGCGACCCACUUUUGCGGCGCGUCCCCGCGCCCCGCCGGCAGUCGCGCGCAUUGUCACGGCCGAGCCACCUGAAUGGAUCUUAGUCGAUAUAAGGCGUAUAUUCGCGUGGCGCGGACGAACACUCUCGUUUUCACCGUACUGUGUUACGUCACGUUGCACGUUACAUCACUGGAUUAUCUUGCACACGUUCAGCGCGGACGAUAGCAGGACAGAAACUUCUCACGAAUGUAAUAGCGCUGUGAUGGACUUCGGAGCCCUACUGCGUCGUUAUCAAGUUCAAAGUAUAGCCAGUCUGUUGCGUGGCGUACGCACGAUAUUAAUGAUGCUGCAAAUCAGAGAGCACGUGAAAUCACUGCAUCUACUCAAGCAAAGCUGAUUAGAGUCCAUAAUUACAAACAAAUUAAGGAGUAAAACUUGACAGCGGACGAACUAUUAGGUCUUAUUACCGCACCAUCGAAGACAAACGUAUUUAAUAUAAACCUAAAUACAGUACAAGGAAGAUCCUAUCUUUGAUAAUCUUGCGGCGGAAUAAAGCAGUCAAACGAAAUAUUAGUCUUUGUUCCAUAGUUAGUCACGCCAUCUAGAUAUGGUAAACAAUAUUAAUAGACAGUUUCAAUGCAAAAGGCUGCAGAUUGAAAUGCCGCCAAAAUGGCAUGAUUCAUUUUGUGGCCAUGUUAUCAUCUGGGUAACCCUUUCCUAAGUAUAAAGCAUAUAAAACUGUCGAAAAAACUACUGUCCAUGUCAUGACGUGGAUUUUAAUGAAAAACGGGACAAAAAACGGGGGGAAAAGAGGAAACCAGACAUUACAAAAAUAAUAUGCACCUAAAAUUCCGGUACAGAUAAUGCCUUCAAUAUUGCUAUAGAAUACAAACGAACAUCCUAGACAACAAAAAACUGUAUUUGAUAAGAAAACAACUAAGUACCCAUACGUCCUUCGACGCAUAAAGCACCCAGCUACUUUUACACGUGUAAAAUUCUGUCGCGGAAAGAUAAGCUGACCAACCUUGAUUCUCAAUGAUACAGCGAAUAUCAUUGAUUUAUUAAACAAAAAAGCCGAACUUACCUGAGAUAUAAUUAAAGAUGCGAGCAUACUUUAAAAGAACAAAGAACCUUCACUUGCACGUGGAGCGAAAACUGGUAGAUUGCGCCAACCUUGGCUUUUUAUAUAGUCCAAAACUUAUCAACCACAACCGCCAAAACCGUGUGAUAACCUUUUAUACAUAAUAUAAUUACCACAAUGGGCCAUCGCAAUAAUAAUUAUUACAUAAGGAAAUAUGUGUGUGAACAAAACAAAUAUAAGACUGUAGUGGACUUCUACAUAAUCAGGGCUUGGAAAAAAGGAGCUUGCCAAUAUUGAGAAGCUGAAAAGUCCUACUAAUAUUACAAUUGCGAAAGUUUGUAAGUAUGUCUGUUUGUUGCUCUUUAACGUAAAAACAACUGAAUGGAUCUUGAAAGAAUACAGCAGUCAUAAAGCCAAAAUAUCAUAAAAAAGGCAUUAAACAUUCACUUUUUAUUUAAGUACAGGAAAUGGUUCCUUCGGGACGCGGGGGUGGAAGAUAGUUUAAAAUAAAUAUUGGAUUCCAACCAAGAAAUGAUGACAAGGCAAGCUAAGUAGAACAAAUGACUAAUCGCUUCCAGCAUAUACCUAGAGUGAACCAAAGUUGGUAACGGAAAGAUCGAACAGUGGAGUGGUAUUAGGCCUCAUAAAACACAAGGAAAUUACAAGAAAUGUUUACAAGGAAAGAAAUUACGUUCCACCAUCUACAUUUAUACGUGUCAGGAUAUGCAGAAACUGGAUAUUUUCGUCCUAUGUUCUUCCAUUAUUUAUUUCUGCACUUUAAGGAGCAAAAGCAGAGCAAGCAGAGCAGUAGAGCAACACAGAUUAUCAAAAGUCAGAAUAAAAAUCUUGUAGCGUCACUAUCAAUAAAAUUCAUAUUUUUCAUAGAUCAAUUGAUAGUGAAUAUUUUCUUUGACUUCUCGCUACUAGAUAACCUCGUCAAGAACAUGUAAUAUUUUGGUGGUUCUACAGGCCAAAAUUAAGUCUUUCCAAGCCUUGCGAGGAAAUACCUCAGCUUGAAAGCGGCCUUUCUCCAGCAGUGGACCUGGGUCGAACGGGUACAGAUGUCAUCUUUAUUGGAACAAAAUAAUACUACAUUCAAAAGUGAAAUUUCGUGCAUGACGCAUACUCCUCACGUACGCCAUAUAGCACUAGGUUGUGACGAAGCAAAGUCCAAAAAAGGCGUUAAUCAAACGUAACCUUUUUAUGUCUUUCAUAGCAGACUCAACAUCAAACGCGUAGUUCCGAUUGCAAGGGCUUACGGUACCCUAUCCUGGUCACUGGCCUUAUUUUCCGAGAAAAAACGAAUAUUUUGUUAGCUUGACUGACACGCAUUGUUAGAACGGCCAUGAAAAUGCAGCAUGAUAAUUAAGUUUACAUGGAUGAUUUUAUUGGUUACAGAUUUUUUUCAUGUACCUAUUUGCACAUUUAACUAAAAAUAUUUUGCACUUAUAACUUAGUAAUAUUGAUUGAUAUUUUUAACCUCUAAUGGACACACUCAGAGACAUUUAAUGGUUACUUAAGCCAUUCCUUAGUGAUGGAUUUCUAUGACAAUCCGUCACCAAGGAGUGACUUAAGUAAUCAUUAAAUGUCUCUGAGUGCGGGCGUUAGUUUUUAAAUUGUUUUGUUCCAUAAACGAAGGAGGGAGGGAGAGGGGGGAGAAGUCUGUUUAUUUAUAUGUAUUAAUACGCUAAAGCACCAUACAUUUAGUAAUAAGCUAUUUUUGUUAAUCUCAUUUUAAGUGAACCAUGAUCUUAUGAGAAAUAAACUUCUUAAAGCCUAAGUAUGUGUUCUGACACCAUUACUGAAACUAGGACUAUGCCAAUGGCGCCCAGGCAUAGAACACAGGACCAGGGAACAUAGUUCACAAGCAGCAAGAACAAACUGUGGUUUUAAGACAAGGAUACAAAUUGAGAAACUCAACUUCCAUACUGCAUACCUCAAGAGGAUCUUCAUCAAGAGGUUCAUCAAAUGUGAUUCUUAGCAUAUUUAUAUAUAUUUUUUUUUUCAACAUAAAAGUUGGUAAAAAGUUUUGAUUUCAUAUGGCACCAAUUAGCAGGCUGGAAGCCUAGUCUUAAUUUAAAAUUUGGAGUGAUGAUGCAGGCUGCCCACGACAGGUUUGUUAGGGGAUUUUCGGCAGUACACCAAUUAGCUGAUAUGAUGAUGAUGAUGAACCAAAUCUUGUCUUUGUCUCCAGACAGUAGUAAAUUGAACCCCUUAUAUAAAACUUACCUCAACAAUAGCAGCAAGAUGCUCCUGGCUGCCUUUCACAUAUAUCUCCUGAAUUUAUAAUGCUGUUGACCAUCAGUGUAUGUCGAGACAUAGCAAAAUGCCACCUGAAAACAUUCAAAGACAAUUAUAUUUUUUACUUCAUAUAGUCACACAUUUGUAAGUUUAACAAAUGUUUUCUUCUUCUACUUUCCUACCUUCUACUUUUGAAGCUUAAAAGCUAUGUUUCGAAUUUAACUAACCGCAGUGGUUAAUAUUAUUAAAUCCAAUACCACAAGAUAUUACUUCAACUGUCCAGCCUUGUUGGGGUCAGAUCCUGUCUACCUACCUACUGACUAGAACCCAGUCACUCCACAACCCAGUUAAACGGGCAAUCCUUUUGUGAUACUGGAUGGCAGACAUACAAGAUAUAGACUUAACAACUAAUACAUAAAGGUGACAAUUGUCUUGUAUUCGAUUUAGACCGUCUUUCUCGUAUAUAUUACGUAUUAGUCUAGAAUUCUAGAUUAAGUUAACUCCUAUGAUUAUUAUUUUUGAGAUUUAUUUACUGCUAUUACAACUGAGCUAUUUGUAUUUGUACAUGUUGAACUAUGUUUUUAAUAAAUGUAUUUUUAUUUUAUUUUAA
Helicoverpa zea (corn earworm) is the source of this 3995-nucleotide long non-coding RNA. RefSeq lists it as uncharacterized. The transcript is spliced from 4 exons. The record is from RefSeq and is a predicted model, not a curated record. Lineage: Eukaryota; Metazoa; Arthropoda; Insecta; Lepidoptera; Noctuidae.